AUGACGCUGCUGAAAUUCUUCCAUAUCUCCGUUUUCCUGCUCCUAUGCACAGCCAAGGCGACCAACCCGGAAGCAGAAGCACUACUCCGAUGGAAGUCCACUUUGAUUGGCGCCAACUUGCUGUCCUCUUGGUCGAUUACCAAAUCUACAUGCUCUUGGUUCGGCGUCACCUGUGAUGCUGCCGGACAUGUUACCGAACUCCAACUUCAUAACGGGCUCCAUGGUACGCUUCAUGCCUUCUACUCUGCAGCGUUCCAGAACCUCACUCUGCUUGAUCUUUACAACAAUAACCUUGUUGGCGUCGUCCCAGCAAAUAUCUCCAUGUUGAUGUCCCUUGGUGUUCUGGACUUGAACUAUAAUAAUCUUGCCGGUGCCAUUCCCUACCAACUUAGUAAGCUUCCAAUGAUUGUUGAGUUAGAUUUGGGAAAUAACCACUUGACCAACCCGGAAUAUGCCAAGUUUUCACCUAUGUCCACUUUGAAGUUGCUAUCUCUAGCUAAUAAUGACCUCAAUGGUACCUUCCCACAAUUCAUCCUCAACUUCUCUAGUCCUAGUAUGAGGUCUCUAGAUUUAUCAGGUAACGCUUUCUCAGGGCCGUUACCACAUUCAUUGCCUGAGAUGGUUCCAAGAUUGCGGUAUCUGAAUUUAUCCUCUAAUGGAUUCUCUGGCUCCAUACCUCGCUCACUCUCAAGGCUCCAAAAGCUCAAGUGGCUAUAUCUCAACUCAAAUAAUCUCACAGGAGGAAUCCCCAAGGAGCUUGGGAUGAUAACUGGAUUGAGAAUGCUUUCACUGUACAACAACUCACUUGGUGGGUCGAUCCCAGCCUCGCUUGGGGAGCUUCAGUUGCUGCAACGGCUCAGCAUUGGAAACACUGAUUUGGUUUCUAUUCUUCCGCCCGAGCUGGGGAAUCUUACCAGUCUUGAACACAUGUUACUGGAAGGGAAUCAUUUGUUUGGAAGCGUGCCACCAUCUUAUGGCAGACUGCGGAAUUUGCAAUAUUUUGACAUAGGGAACAACAGAAUCAAUGGUACCAUUCCACAAGAGAUUUCUACAAACUGGACCAAGAUGAAGGUUUUUGAUGUAUCCAACAACUGGUUAACCGGAAGCCUCCCCCCACAGAUCAGCAAGUGGAAGGAGCUUGUUUUGCUCGCCCUGUACAACAACAAUUUUAUUGGCUCGAUCCCAGUGGAGAUGGGAAGCAUGCGGAACUUGCAGCUAUUGUCCUUGCACAAGAAUCACAUAACUUGAACGAUACCGUCAGUUAUCGGUAAUGCGACAUCUUUGAAAUUCCUUGACAUCAGCUUCAACCAUCUCGAGGGCGAGCUUCCUGCAUCUAUCUCGUUGUUGGUAAAUCUUAUUGUUCUUGACUUGUCUAGCAACAAGUUUACAGGUAUCAUUCCAAAUUUUCAUAGCAGGAAGUUGACAGUUCUUAAGGUGGCUCAUAAUAGCAGCUUCUUGGCAGAACCAUUGUCUGCCUUUUGUCAACUAAAACAUUUGCGGCUCUUGGGUCUAUCAAAUAAUAAGUUAAUUGGACAGUUUCGUGGUUGCUUGUGGAACUUGAAAGAUUUACAAUCCUUGGAUUUGUCAAGCAAUGCUUUUUCUGGGGAAGUUCCAACCUCAACUUACUACAAUACUUCACUAAGAUUGCUGCAGUUGUCGAACAACAAGUUCACAGGUUGCUUUCCAGCAGUGAUGAAGAACUUGAAAAGACUUGUUAUUUUAGAUCUCGGGAACAAUGAGAUUUCUGGUGCAAUUCCUCCGUGGAUAGGGGAAAGCAAUCCUCUGCUGAGGAUCCUUAGACUGCGAUCAAAUAUGUUCUAUGGAAGUGUUCCUUGGCAGCUAUCACAGCUCUCCCAUCUGCAAUUACUUGAUCUGGCUGAAAAUAAAUUCGUAGGGACCAUACCGGAAAGUUUUGCAUAUUUUCGUUCAAUGAGACAGUCAGACAUCAUGCAGCCGGUUCUAACAAUCAACAUACGAUCUACCACCUUUGGAUAUUUUUACAAUGGCAGCACGGACAUAGUUUGGAAGGGACGGGAGCAUACAUUUAAGGGAAGAGAUGCAUUUGUGACUGGUAUUGAUCUCUCCAGCAAUUCUCUAUCUGGUGAAAUCCCUUUAGAGUUGACAAAUCUUAGAGGCAUCCAGUUUCUAAAUAUGUCAAGAAAUCAUCUAUCUGGUGGUAUCCCGAAGGACAUUGGCAAUCUGAAGUUGUUAGAAUCCCUUGACAUCUCGAGGAACAAACUAUCAGGCCCUAUUCCUCCUAGCAUAUCGAACUUGAUAUUCCUCAGCUCUCUUAAUCUCUCGAACAACCUUCUAUCCGGGGAGAUACCUACAGGCAAUCAACUCCAAACAUUGGAUGACCCGUAUUGA
RNAcentral lists this ribosomal RNA (2367 nucleotides) under Triticum aestivum (bread wheat). RNAcentral's name for it is "partial small subunit ribosomal RNA". Lineage: Eukaryota; Viridiplantae; Streptophyta; Magnoliopsida; Poales; Poaceae. The record is from RNAcentral.